This 429-nucleotide ribosomal RNA is filed under the name uncultured bacterium. RNAcentral's name for it is "bacterial SSU rRNA". It matches the Rfam family "Bacterial small subunit ribosomal RNA", at positions 29 to 506 of the family's 1533-position model. The record is from RNAcentral.
ACGAACGCUGGCGGCAUGCCUAACACAUGCAAGUCGAACGCUCCGCAAGGGGAGUGGCGCACGGGUGAGUAACACGUGGGAACCUGCCUAUCGGUUCGGAACAACGUCUGGAAACGGACGCUAAUACCGGAUAUUCCCUCAGGGGGAAAGAUUUAUCGCCGAUAGAGGGGCCCGCGUCCGAUUAGGUAGUUGGUGGGGUAAUGGCCUACCAAGCCGACGAUCGGUAGCUGGUCUGAGAGGAUGAUCAGCCACACUGGGACUGAGACACGGCCCAGACUCCUACGGGAGGCAGCAGUGGGGAAUAUUGGACAAUGGGCGCAAGCCUGAUCCAGCAAUGCCGCGUGAGUGAUGAAGGCCUUAGGGUUGUAAAGCUCUUUCGCACGCGACGAUGAUGACGGUAGCGUGAGAAGAAGCCCCGGCUAACUUCGU